UUGAUGUCUGUGAGCUGGGAAGCCU
This 25-nucleotide non-coding RNA is filed under the name Rattus norvegicus (Norway rat). Lineage: Eukaryota; Metazoa; Chordata; Mammalia; Rodentia; Muridae. The record is from RNAcentral.